Molecule: ribosomal RNA, 460 nt
Filed under: uncultured bacterium
Lineage: Bacteria
Description: partial 16S ribosomal RNA
Rfam family: Bacterial small subunit ribosomal RNA
Source: RNAcentral
CCUACGGGAGGCAGCAGUGAGGAAUAUUGGUCAAUGGACGAGAGUCUGAACCAGCCAAGUAGCGUGAAGGAUGACUGCCCUAUGGGUUGUAAACUUCUUUUAUAUGGGAAUAAAAUGUUCCACGUGUGGGAUUUUGUAUGUACCAUAUGAAUAAGGAUCGGCUAACUCCGUGCCAGCAGCCGCGGUAAUACGGAGGGUCCGAGCGUUAUCCGGAUUUAUUGGGUUUAAAGGGAGCGUAGGUGGAUUGUUAAGUCAGUUGUGAAAGUUUGCGGCUCAACCGUAAAAUUGCAGUUGAAACUGACAGUCUUGAGUACAGUAGAGGUGGGCGGAAUUCGUGGUGUAGCGGUGAAAUGCUUAGAUAUCACGAAGAACUCCGAUUGCGAAGGCAGUUCACUGGACUGCAACUGACACUGAGGCUCGAAAGUGUGGGUAUCAAACAGGAUUAGAUACCCCAGUAGUC